CAUGGACUUAUGAGAGCAGUCUGGGUGUAUAGCCCUUUAAAGGAAGGUGUUUUUUCAGGAGCUAGUGUUGCACGGGUUUCUCUGUUUAAAGGCAUUAUUAGUAUGUGUUCCCCAGAAACAGUGGUUUGGCAUCUGCUUUGAGGGCAGUGCUCUGGCUUACGAGCUUAUAAACUGAAGAUGGAUAUCCGUUACCCUGUUUUCAUUUUGAACUACUUAGCAUUUUGGGAAAAUCUCCAAAGGCUUUGCAUUCUCUAAUGUUAUUGCUACGUGUGUUUUUACCUCACUUUUCUUAAUUCUGCCUUCUCAUUUGUUCAGGCCGAAAGGGAAUAUGUCUCUAAAAAUUUGCCUUUCAAAAUAUAACGGAGGAGCAGUUCUAUAUUUAUUCUGGGGCUAGCUACUUCAAAUACUAGAAUCGUUUCCUAAAGUAUGUAUUAGAUUAUUUGCCCAUCAGAUAUUACUGAUGCAGAAAGAGAAACUGCUCGUCCUCCACCCUGGGUCUUUCUAAAGCAGAAGUAUUGAUAUAUUUAAUCUUCUACAGGAUAUUCAAAUAGAAGCCUUGCUGAUGAGAGCCUGUGAGCCCAUAAUUCAGAACUUCUGCCACGAUGUGGCAGAUAACCAGAUAGACUCUGGGGACCUGAUGGAGUGUCUGAUACAGAACAAACACCAGAAGGACAUGAACGAGAAGUGUGCCAUCGGAGUCACCCACUUCCAGCUGGUGCAGAUGAAGGAUUUUCGGUUUUCUUACAAGUUUAAAAUGGCCUGCAAGGAGGACGUGUUGAAGCUUUGCCCAAACAUAAAAAAGAAGUAUGUAGCUUGUAGUUGUUUCAUUCCACUUUCCCGAAGUCCCUCUUAGCUGAGGAAUGAGUAUGCGAGAUGUCAGGCAGCCCUCCUGCUGCCUGGUGGGGUUAGCCCUGGAGGCCUCCCACGUCUCUCCUUUGAUUAGCGUGGCAAACACUCGGACUGUCUGGACAGAGCAUCUGGCGAUGGUAGUUCUCACAUGGAGGUCCCAUAGGCUAAAGGAGCAUUUUUAAUUUUUCCAGGUCAGGCCAUCUAACUGAUGAAGUAGGGUUGGAUUUUGUACUUAGAGAAGCAGGGUGCAGUGUGAGUGAAAGAGGCGAACUGACUUCCCUGCGUCAUCCCGUUAUGUCAUCUCAUCUAAGAUGCAGCAGUUUUUGUAUCGGGUUAGAUAUUUCGUGAAGAAACAGAAUCUUUAUUCAUUUAAGAAUGAAGUCUUAAUGAGGAAACUGAUAAGCUUUUUCAGCGUGACUGCCCAAAUUCUUCCAUGUUGCUCUUUGAAAGGGCCAUUUCUAGAACACUUGCUCUCAUAUAAACCAAAUUCCCAGUUUGCUCAGGUUUCUCUACCUUUCAGGAGUGAGUUUCACAGUAGGUCAAAGGUACAGCCCUAGAGUUAAGAGCAGCAUUCCUCUGUGGUCACAUGUUUUUAACACAGAUGUUGAACUGUCCUUGCACACAUAUGCCCUGUCUGGCUUCCCCUUCCAUCAGGAAUGUAGUCAGCAUUCGUGCUGCUGCCUGCCUUUCAUGACACCCACAGUCAAAUUGCAGCUUUUAGCACCCUGAAAAAAAAACCGGUGAGCCUUACAGGAAAGAUAUUCCCCAAAAAGGCAUCUUGAAUUCUUAAUGGUGUGACCGCCCCCAGCCCGGCUGUCAGGCCAUCUGCCCUUGUGUGCCCCCAGCCAGCCUCAAGCUUCUCCUUUCAUCUGCAGGGUGGACGUGGUGAUCUGCCUGAGCACGACCGUGCGCAACGACACUCUGCAGGAAGCCAAGGAGCACAGGGUGUCCCUGAAGUGCCGCAGGCAGCUCCGCGUGGAGGAGCUGGAGAUGGUAAUGCCUCCCAGCUUUUGCUCCCCGAAACCACAGUGGGCCAGGGCUUGGAAAGCUGGGGAGAGGCCAGGGCAAGGGGGAGGCAUUUUAUCCACUACUGUGAUGGUUAAGACUUGAAGUCCUGUGCAAAAGUUUUACCAUACGACCAUUAGCUUCCUGUGUCAUUCUUUUGAUUUUGAAUGAUAAAACCUUUCUUCCCACAUAUAACUGGAAGUCCAGCUGUAAGACAGGCUCUAACUAAGCAUGUGAUCCAAUCACUGUAUCAGUAAUGUCCUCAGGGGCCGGAUGCGGUGGCUCAUGCUGGUAAUCCCAGCACUUUGGGAGGUCGAGGCAGGUGGAUCGCCUGAGGUCGGGAGUUCAAAACCAGCCUGGCCAGCGAGAUGAAACCCUGCCUGUACUAAAAGAGACUUAGGCCAGCGAGGUGGCUCAUGCCUGUAAUUCCAGCACUUUGGGAGGCCAAUGCGGUCAAAUCACUUGAGGUCUGGAAUUCAAGACCAGCCUGGCCAACAUGGCGACACCCCAUCUCUACUAAAAAUACAAAACUUAGCCAGCUGUGGUGGCACAUACCUGUAAUCCCAGCUACUUUAGAGACUGAGGCAGGAGAAUCACUUGAACCAGGACAUGGAGGUUGCAGUGAGCUGAGAUGGUGCCACUGUACUUCAGCCUGGGUGACAGAGUGAGACUCUGUCUCA
RNAcentral lists this small RNA (2534 nucleotides) under Pongo abelii (Sumatran orangutan). RNAcentral's name for it is "retained intron". Lineage: Eukaryota; Metazoa; Chordata; Mammalia; Primates; Hominidae. The record is from RNAcentral.